UGGUGUAGUUCGGUCCAUCAUGCCGCCCUUUCGAGGCGGCGACCCGGGUUCAAAUCCCGG
This 60-nucleotide transfer RNA is filed under the name Methanobacteriota archaeon. RNAcentral describes it as "Euryarchaeota archaeon tRNA-Glu". It matches the Rfam family "tRNA", at positions 8 to 63 of the family's 71-position model. Rfam says of the family: Transfer RNA (tRNA) molecules are approximately 80 nucleotides in length. Their secondary structure includes four short double-helical elements and three loops (D, anti-codon, and T loops). The record is from RNAcentral. Lineage: Archaea; Methanobacteriati; Methanobacteriota.